UUACCCAAUUUGGAAAAAGGGUUGGGGUGCAGUACUUGUGGCAAACGGGAUCCACAGGAGAGUCGGGAUAGAAAUUCGGGUCUUGAGAUGCUGCAGGUGUAUUGAUAUUGUUUCAAUGUUGGGGGAUGUUUCGCAGCAUGGAGGGGCCUAGGACAGGAUACUCAGCCCUCUCAAGACUUGUUCCUGGGUGAAGAAACAGAGGGUUUACCUCUACCACCACUUUCUCUGGCUUCACAUGAUCGUGUGUCUUUGGAGAUGGAAUUCACUAUCAAACCCUGUUUGCUCAUAUUAUAUCCACGAAAAACACAAAACCCGGUUCCACGCGGUGCUUUAGUGGCUAAAAGUGAAAGAGCUGCCUUGGCAGAAUUCAGCUCUAUGAAUCACUUCGGAAAAUUGGUUCGACUGAAUGGCCUUAGGAGGAAAAACGUUUUAAUAGGAUCCAGGGGGAGGUUCUGCUGUUUCAAUCUGCUCCUUAAACAGGUGGAGAUGGGACCUUCUCAAUUAUACAAACAGUAAGUACCCAUCAGCUGGGAGAGCUGCCCUCCGAAUCCUCCCCGCACGCAGCCCUAAACCAGAAGCAGAACUCGGCUUUGC
This 594-nucleotide long non-coding RNA is filed under the name Homo sapiens (human). Its description in RNAcentral is "HSALNT0312105". Lineage: Eukaryota; Metazoa; Chordata; Mammalia; Primates; Hominidae. The record is from RNAcentral.